GCGGAUGUAUUACCAGUAGAACGACAAUGCCAGAAAGACAGUUCAAAAAUGUAUAACACUUUUCAUUUCAAUAAUUUCUGGUUACAAUGGCGUGCUCGUGUGAUUACAAGGAAUUCCCAGAGGGAAAUUAGGGUGUAAAGAAAGUAAAGAAGAGGUGGAGACUCCGAGGAGCUGAAGAUCUGGGAUCCCGAAACCUCCAUUCGAAGCGGCUGCAAUCCCGCCGGAAGUGGGUGCUUCCAACCGGAGGCGCCAUCGGCGUCUCACGAAGAAGACGAAGAGCCGGCGCGGAUGAAGAAGAAGUGGACGAAGGAGAAGUCCACACUGCUCCUACCCAGAGGCGCCAUCCACGCCUCACGAAAAAGACGAGGAGCCGCCGCAGACGAAGCUCCCGCUGCCUCCAGGGGAACGCCACCUCCAAGGGAUAUUCCGG
Molecule: long non-coding RNA, 430 nt
Filed under: Phoenix dactylifera (date palm)
Lineage: Eukaryota; Viridiplantae; Streptophyta; Magnoliopsida; Arecales; Arecaceae
Description: long non-coding RNA (PDAC_LNC015100)
Source: RNAcentral